Molecule: long non-coding RNA, 4781 nt
Filed under: Salmo salar (Atlantic salmon)
Lineage: Eukaryota; Metazoa; Chordata; Actinopteri; Salmoniformes; Salmonidae
Description: lncRNA (ENSSSAG00000103840.1)
Source: RNAcentral
CACCCCUCACUCCCCUUCUUGGCUUCCAUGGCAACCCCCACGGGAACCUUUCCCCAAUAGAAUCUUUCCCCCACGGGAACCACACCUGUUGGCAUUCUCACAAACAAUCGCAACAUUGUUUCAAUAAUAUAUAGACAUUUUCUCGCAGCUCUGAAGCUUUUUUGAGGCCUUGAUCACAAUUCAUUCUGUGGCAGCACAAUAACCAAACGAUAUGCUGUAUGUGAGGCUCUUGAUCAUAUAUUUAAUCAUGACACUUGUGAGGAGAGAGUCCUUGUUAAACUUUGACACAAAGUAGAGUGUGAUAAAUAGCACAAUAUAUUUCAUCUGAAUAUUUGUUAUAAAGGGCUGUUCUUAAGCAGACGAGUGCCUGGACACAGCUCUUAGAAUUGGUAUAUUGGCCAUACACCACAAACCCCCAAGGUGCCUUCUUGCUAUUAUAAACUGGUUAUCAACAUAAUUAGAGCAGUAAAAAUAAAUGUUUUGUCAUACCUGUGGUAUAAGGUCUGAUAUACCACAGCUGUCAGCCAAUCAGCAUUCAGGGCUCUAACCACCCAGUUUAUAAUACAUGCUAUAAUAUGAAGCAAUUUUAAAACAAAUAAUAUCACAUAAAACAUUUUGUAGAUAUGUCUUUACAGUCAAUGAAUAGCCUACAGGUGAUUGUGGUGUGCAACAGUUAAACAGUAAAUCAUGUUGCUGUCAAAUAACUUCCUUUACACGUUACAGGAUGUGGUCUAAGGGCUGUGUCUGACUUGAUAGAAUACUGGAACAGUUUCAUUCUAUUGUCACAUUUCUAACCAAAGUGACCUUAACCAGAGAGUUUAGAAAACCUCCUACUCUACUAUAUUUGACAACUUGCAUGAUCCACAUGGUCCAUUCCAACCCAGAGAAAAACACAAUUGGGUAACUUUGGGGAAAAACUAACAAAAUUCUUAUAAAGUUGUUUUUCCCUGUGGUUAGCCAGCCUCCACUCACCAUAUGAGUCUCAAGCUAACAUGAAAUAAAAGAAAGUGUUAGAAAUGAAUGGUAAAUAAUGUAUUGUGUCAUUUGAUUCAUUUUUAUUGUAAAUAAGAAUAAUGUUUCUAAAACCUUCUACAUUAAUGUGGAUGCUACCAUGGUUACAGAUCAUUCUGAAUGAAUUGUGACUAAUGAGUGAGAAAGUUAGAUGCAGAAAUACAGUAUCAUUACCCCCCACCACCACAUAUGCUAACCUCUGAUUGUAAUGCUGAGAUGUUAGCAUGUCUUCGGGUUAUGAUAUUUGUGCGUCUAAUUUUGCCACUCAUCAUUACUCACGAUUCAUUCAAAAUUAUCCGUAAUCAUGGUAGCGUCCACAUUUAUGUAGACGUGUUUAGAAACAUAUUCUUUCUUAUUUACAAUAAAAGUGACAAUACAAUAUUUACCAUUCAUUUUUAUUGGGCCCAAAAUAAUCUGAAACACAACCAAAACAAACAGCAAAUGCAUCCAACAAAUUUGUAGAGUCACAAGCUUGAUGUAGUCAUUGCAUGCUAUGAAUAUGGGACCAAAUACUUAACUUUAAUACACAUAAGUGAAAUUCCCAAUACUUUUGGUCCCCUAAAAUGGGGAACUAUGUACAAAAAGUGCUGUAAUUUCUAAACGGUUCACUCGAUAUGGACGAAAAUACCCUCAAAUUAAAGCUGACAGUCUGCACUUUAACCUCAUUGUAUCAUCCAACAUGCUGGAGUACAGAGCCAAAACAAAAAAUGUGCCACUGUCCCAAUGCUUUUGGAGCUCACUGUAUAUAGUUUGAUGUUGAUUUAUGUUAAAUAAUGUCUGUAUAAAUCAGUUUGAUGCAAAUCAGGACAGCUGUCAUACAAAGGCUUCCCAUGUAUUGAUUCAAUCUUUAAAGGGAUAGUUCACCCAAAUAACAAAAUGACAAAUUGGUUUCCUUUUGCUGUAAGCAGUCUAUGGACAAGGUAUGACAGCAAAUCCAUGUUUUGGUUUAGUUUCACUGGCACCAUUUCCACAUGCUAACGUUUCAGCAUUUGUGGCACAAAUCCCAUUCAAGUCAUAAGACCAAUAUUAGCAUUUUUUCACACAUCAUCUCCAAAUCAUUCAAAAGUAUCUACAAUUUAUUGUGAAGCUCAACAAAGUCAGGUAUAGAUGUUUUGAACAUGAUGCGUGAAAAAUGAAUUUACUGUCAGACACCUCUGGUUGACAGAUUUGCAUAUCAGGGUGGUUGGCAUCACCAGCCUUUCCAUUAGAGAAGUAUGGGAACAGUCUCUCAGUAAACGUGUCUUUAUGAGUGUAGAUGUGUCAUGUGUUUGGUGUUGUAGAAGGACACCUCCCCCUGAUAAUCCAGCUGCACUCUGAUCCUCUGGGGUGUCUUCUUUGGAGUGAAAUCUACAGUUACCAUUCCUCAGUUGUACAGUCCAGGUUGUAAAUCCUUCCCCAUUCCUGUGGAUUGACUCUUCGGCCACGCCUAUAUACCAGUGAGGGUGGUCCCCCACCACCUCCCAGCUGAACCCCUCAGAUGCCAGAACCUGGGCAUUAAACCUGUUCCUCUCUGGGUUGUCAGGGAGCUGCAUGUUUUGGGGUAAGGUGUUUCACACUGCUCAGAUCAUCAGACAGUGAGAGGCAGGGGUUUGCAGUGUUAUAUACUCACAGGAGUAUAUUUGAUGAUCCCUUGCAUCUUGUCCCAGACUCUGAACUGCAGGUUUCCCAAGUGUUUGGCCAUGUCUAUCAGCGCUCCUGAGACCAGCUGAGGACCUGGCAGUGUGAACUGGGCUCUGGAGCUUGUCUGGAUGUGUUUGUAGCUCUUGAGGAAUGGCACCUACUGUUUCAGGAGUUCCUGUUUCACCACAGAAAUGCUUAGUGAUCUGGUCCUGAAUGUUCUGCAUCUCUGGCGAUCGUCUUUCCCUUCCUCCCUCAGUGCAGCCUGUCCCCCUGUUGGAUGUCUCAAUAGAAAACCCACCUAACUUUAUAUUACUUAAACAAAAGGAAUAUUCUCAAAAGUCGAUUAUUACAGGUGAUCAGAAAACGUUUCUCUGUUAAAGAAUGACUUCCCCUGAAAACCAACUAAUCGCUUCGAAAACAGCCUGUGUGGCAUCGAUAUGAGUCAAACAUUUAUUCUAGUGUCAAAAUUGACUAAAGUGUAAAUAGGAUAAUUUUACUCAUAAAGUCAGUCUCAUCUAAAACAGAGUUUGGAACCUAAGUGCUUCCCACGUCAUUUAAGGUAGGGUUUGGAUUGUAAUUAUGGCAACAAUUCAUGCCCCCUUUUGCCAAGAUCCACCUGUAAAUCAUCCAAACAUCAGCCAUGGUGGUACGAGUAUACCAGUAGCUAGAUCAAAUUGUAAUAACAUUCUUAAAUUAACUAGGCAAGUCAGUUAAGAACAAAUUCUUAUUUACAAUGACGGCCUCCGGGGAACAGUGGGUUAACUGCCUUGUUGAGGGGAAGAACGACAUGUUUUUACCUUGUCAGCUCGGGGAUUUGAUCCAGCAACCUUUCAGUUACUGGCCCAACGCUCUACCCGCCAGCCGAAACAUUUCCUUCGAGCCGGAUCAAGGGCCACUUCAUUGCUUGACGACUUUUGACGUGAAAAAUGAGUGCUGCGAAAAUGAGAAAAGUGGACUCUGAAUGUCGUGUGGACAGCAAAAUACUUUACUAAUAUUGGAUAUAAGGCGAUAUAUCUGAUAUGGCAAGAAAGUGUUGCCGCUUUUAAGGAAUAUAAUCUCGAUCGACGGUUUCAAUCUUUUUUCUAUAGCACUGGAUGCAGCUAUUAGCCAACAGUGCACUAACUAGCAGCAACAAACCCAACCCAUAACAAAACAUGUCACCAUUGGUUGCAUAGGGUAACGGUGUCUCCGGCCUGAAUCUAAUCCAAUCUGGAGUCACUCUACAUCUGUAAAGCAUAGAAUUGGCUUCCAAACGAGAUUGUUAUUUCUCAAGCUGUGUUUAAAAUUGAGGGAUGAUGACAAUCGUUGACCCUGUUUUUCUGUUAGACAAAUUGCACAGUUGGAUGCCAGACUGAUCGUUUGGUCAUGAACGGAUGCCGGGACUUACCAGAAAGAACAAAGCUUAUCAGGCAAGACCUCAGAAUAAAAGUAUCAUGCGACACAAGUAUCCCUGUGCCACCUCCGUUUUUGCCAGUGUCCCUCAACUCCUAAGAAAAAGACUCUCCAUCAUGAGGCCUCUGAUACUGACCUGAGGUAUUGCCCUGAUGACACAGAAGGCUUAAUCAACAACGACAGUUUUUCAAGAUAUGUCCAGUUUGCAGCAGAACAUGCAGCAUAGAGAAGACCAGCAAUGGAGCCCUUAUAAGCAUCAUGCCGACAUGCACUUGCUGUGAGCAUUCCUAUGAAUGGUACAGUAUUGCCAAGUAUCCAGCCAGCAACCUUCACCUGUCAGCGGCAACAGCUUUCACAGGCUCAUCAUUUGUACAAAUACAGAAUGUAACUUACUUUGACAAAUUAGAUAACACUAUUGUGAAGUACAAUUAUUGUAAGCUGAUAUUUUAGAGGAUAGCUCAGCUUUAAUAUUGCAGAUAUAUUGUGGCAUCUAUCAAUGUAAUUGUCUGCAUAAUUUCCAGUCCCCAAUAUACAUUAUCAGUCAAAAGUCUGGACACACCUACUCAUUCCUGGGUUCCUUUAUUUUUACUAUUUCCUACAUUUUAGAAUAAUAGUGAAGACAUCACUAUGAAAUAACACAUAUGGAAUCAUGUAGUAACCAAAUCAACAUAUAUUUUGUAUUCUUCAAAGUAGCCACCCUUUGCCUUGACAGCUUUGCACACUAUUGGCAUUCUCUCAACCAGCUUCAUGAGGUAGAC